AGCACUCCAAUCUCUGCCUUCUGCUCUGUCUUCACACGGCCUUCCCUCUGUGUCUCUGUGUCCUCUUCUCCUCUUAUAAGGACAACAGUGAUGAGAUUUGAGGCCUACCCCGCAUGCAGAUAAUCUGAUCUCAAGAUUAUCACCUUAAUUACAUCUGUAAAGACCUUAUUCCUAAAUAAAGUUGCCCUCUGAGUUCUGAGUGGACAUGAAUUUGCAGGGCAGGCUACUCUUCAACCCACUAUGCAGUGAGAAUGGGCUGUGCAGAGGCCGCCCACACCUGGCAGGGGUCAAGGUGAGCCCUCGGUCGCCACGUUCCCUGGGACUCCCAGGAUGGCAAGCCUGGCAGCAGUUCCUGUUUUCUUUGGUGUCAUUGGAAAUGCUACUGUUUGGAUGUAGUUUGUUGGGAUGCCAAUAUAUCAAGAAAGGCUUCCUUGUUCUCCCUCCUGAAAUUCUGCACACACGACUGUUUUUAGCAACAGUGAUGUGAUCUCUAUUUUUGGUGGCAGUUUUGAGCACCCUGUCCGUUGGAACUUUUUGUGUUGUAAACAGACAGGAGAUCCAGCCCAAAUGGAGGUAAGUAAUAAGGACCAUGCACUCACCUCGGUGGAGAGGCCACGGGUUCGGAGACCUUCAGGAGAAGUUUGAUCCAGCCGCUCAGUGAUGCAGCAGGGACCGAGAGCCCUUGGGUGCCCUGCUCCCUCCACAUUCCCAGGGGCUCCUCAUGCUGCCCUGGCAGCUCUGCAGAAGGCCUCCCUGAAGAAAGGCAGCUGGUCCCAGCUAGAGUCCCAGGGUUCAUGCUGGCUGAGCCCCCUUCUUGUUUCUUCCCCAACCCAGAGCUAUUCUCACCUCCCCUGAAGGCCUUCCCAGGUGAUGGGGGCCAUGGAGACUGCAUUGGACAGCUCUGUGCACUGUCCAUGAAGCACUUGCUGCAGGACUCCCUUAGAAACGUGAGGCUUUAAACACCUUGGGACCCCAGGAGGAGGCAUGUGUCCAGCUAGCGGUGCCCCUCUGUGGUGUGGAGAACGUUCUACUCAGACGUUCCUGAGUGGGAACUUGGCAGCACAACUGGGAAACCUGUUGCUUCCAGCCCCGCGGGCCUGUAGACCCCCCACCAGAGAUGGGCCCUCCUGCCAGGCUUCCUACCUUGUGCAACUUAGCCUCCUGCUGCACCCCAUCCACCAGCUCUGCCAGCACGAGAGGUCAUCCCACACGCUCCUGCUUCCAGGCCACCAGCUGUCCCCCAUGGCCCCCAUCUCCCCUGUACCCUCUGGACUUUGCAGAGACCCCUCUGCUCUCCUUGGGGUUACAGAGCUCUGCAUCUGUCUCCUCCCCUCCCCUGCAGCUGCUCCCAAUCCUGCACCCCACACAGAGCCUGGGGCUCCACACUCCUUCACCACUGACCACACCUGCCAGGUGCUGCCUGCAUCUCAACUCAGGCCACCUGCUCCCGCCCUCCAUGUUGGGUUCAUGCAGCGAUUCUCCCAGGCCACUCUGUGUCUCCCUCUGCUCCAGCAUCCUGCUGCCUAGGCGGCCGUGCCACUGCAGCCCUUGCUCCAGAGUACCUGCCUGGAAACCUUGCCCCGGCUCCCCAAAUGCACCUCCCUUCCCACAGGACAUCCAUUCAAGGCCACAUCCAAACCUCCAAAUGCCUCCUGAACACUUCACCUAGAGGCCUCACCUGCCUGGUGGCUCACGGAGGCUGGCGCCAUCGCCUCCCCCCGCCACAGCCAGACUGGUCUGCUCCCCCUCCUCUUCACGUCCCCUCUUGGUGAUCACCUGCUCCCCCAUUUCCCACCUCAAGCAGUCUCACCCUCCUCUGUGCCCCGCCCCUGGCUCCUACCUACGCAAGGUGGCAGCCUCUGGCCACCCUGCACGCCCAGCCAUGCAGAGCCUGGGAAACGACAGGACAUGUGGCUGUCCUUUCACGGCCCCUGUCACCUCCCCCAAAUCCAGCCAGGGCUGAGACGCCCCACACUGUGGCCCCCGGCAUAAGGCCUUGAUCCUUCCUGAGGGCAGGAUGGGGGCAGUUUUGUUCUGUGAAGUUCCUUGGCCUUGAGCUUAGCUGGACCCCGCUCCCGGAAAGCCCGAGAAACAGACGUUCCUCUGUGAAAGCCCCUUCUGAGCACCUGCAAGGAGCACUCUGCCAUCCCACUCCUGGUUCAGGCUUUCAUCCGCGUGGAGGGCCUUGUCUUCUGUGAGUCCCCGCCUCAGCCUCACCUGGCUCCUAGGAGGCUCUGGGAAGGUUAGCUGGGCUGUUCCCCAAACAAGGGGCCACAGGAAGGUGGGGGCUCCUGAGGGUCUGGGAGGCAGGGGAGACUAUGUGUGCCCUUUCUCUUCCGCACCUGAAACCUGACUUUCCCUCACUGGAGACCUGAGGAUGGAGUGCAGUGGCUUAGCUAAGCUUCUGUUAACAGCAUGCUCACUGUUUUGAAACAGAAAUGAAAGAACAUUUGGGAGUUGGGGUAUGUGCAGAGAAAACAUUUUCCUUGAAUGUCUUUACUGAAUGGGUGGGAAUAGGUAUGUGUGAAGGGGAAAAGUUCAGGGUACAGUGGUCAGGUCCUUGGGAGAUGUCGGGGAGGGCCGUCUGGCCCAGCUCCUGAGGAGGGUGGGCCCAGGCUCAUCCUAUACGCACUAGUCCUGACGCCUCACAAUUAAUCAAAUGGCUAAAAACAAACACAAAAGAAGCCCUCAGCAUUGUGUUACCAGGGCAGCGGUGUGAUGUCAUCUGUUCAUUCCAAGCUGUCACCCCGAAGCUGAGUGAAGUACGUGGUGAGGACAGGCAGAUUGUGCCUUACGUGCAUAGUGCAAAUAAGACUUUCUUCUACAUGGAAGGCCCCGUCCUCCACAGGUCCCAGCCUCAGCUGACACUCGGGUCCCAGGAGGCUCUGCGAAGGUUUGCUGGGCGGUUCCCCCGCACGCCGGGCUACAACAAAGGAACACAGCAUGACACGUGCUGUGAACCUCAGCUGUGAGACAACCGAAGGAGAGACAACAUUCAGCAAAAACAGAGCCCAAACUGUCCCCGUUUCUCUCAGCCCCAACUGCUCCAUGGCUUGGAGUGCAGCAAAUGUUUCAGCCGCGCUCAAAGGGAAGGCUUUGCUCUGGAGUCAGCAUGCAGAGCUCGCCUCGACUCCCCUCCAUGCCGCUCCUCACCAGCACUGGCUGGGUUUGAAUCUCAGCUCCCUGGCUCCUCGCUGUAAGCCCUGGAAUGCAAACCCCAAGGGCCAAACACCCCGAGGCUCUCAGGUCCCAGGCGCGGACACCUUCCUGGCCUUGGCUGUCAUGGCCCAGAUGGAAGCAAAGACAACUCCCCUCUCCACAGGUCGGCUGGUCCUCCUGCCCCGAGAGCAGGAGCCCAGGCACAGGCUCUGUACAGAGUUCUCCAUCUACUUCUCCCAGGGUGGCUAUGCAAAGGCCGUCUGCCUCUCGCUCUCUGGGUCCCACCUGCAGCCUGUCCCAGUGGAUUCUGUAGGCUCCACAGUGAUGCUGGGAAAAGACCCAAACACCCGGACAAAGCACGUGGACAGCUGCCAAUGCCAAAACGGCAGGAAGCAAGGGAAAGGCAGCUGGCUCCGACCCUUUGCCAACCGUGUGCAACGCUGCAGGCACCUAGAGCCAGCGAGGAGCUACCAAACUGGUUCCCAUCUAUGCUUGCAGCGGCUGCUGUCGCAGAGGCAGGACAGGGGUGCAUGGCUAUGCCAAGUAUCCUUCUGGGAUGAGCCGAUUCUCUUGUCCCAGGUCGGGCAUGAUGGAGAGGCCAGAAGGUGUGUUUGAAUAGCAGGCAUUGGGGGUUUGCAAAGGGCUGUGAUUUCCUGGGCCUCCCGUCUUAGGCAGGCUCUGGGUUCUCCUUGGUUCUUCCCUUGGAGCAGGGACCUGGCUUUGGAUGACCAUGGAUCUUUCCUGGUUUCUGCUGUUAUCUUGCUGUGUGACCGAGGUCAAGUCCACACUCCCUUCCCAAGCUUGUUUUCUCUGCAGUAAAACUGCCAUUUGGAACUGAACCCUUCAAGGGGAGGCGGCUGAAACAGUGGGGGUGAUGCUGGGUGCUAAGCCCUACCCCUUCUCCUAAAUACCUACUUCUCUCCUUUUUUUUCCUUUUUUACCUAUUAAUGGGUUAGACAGCCAAAAACCCUCUCUGAAAGAGUGUCCUGGCCCAAGUCCGCCUGGGGCACUGUUGUGAGCCUCAAUUUCUACGGAUCUAUGCCUGGAAAGCUUUUAGCAUAAAACGUUUUAGGUAGAAGACCGGGAUCACGGAACAGGAUCAGGACCCCAGAACAGGACCGAGACCAUGAAACAGGAAGCAAGCUACAUCCAGCACCCAGUUCAGAGAGAGGGCUGGGGACGCCGACACUCCACCUCCUUCCCAGCAAACUCGGAAGGCUCCAGGGCAUCCCUGGAGCUGCUCUGGCAGAGAAGAAUCAGUGUCCACACGUGCAGCUCUCGCUCGAGGAAGGGCAGGGGCGACAUCAGAGGCAUGCUUUGCACAGCACACGCUUCUAGAAUGGCUGGGAUUUCAACCUUGAAAGUCUCAACUCCUUCUUCCUCCUCAGAUCUUGGGAUUUUGAAAGUGAUUCCUAAAUGCCUUUCGAUCUCAUUUUUGCCGAAGGAGAUGGUCCUAAUUUACUGCAUUCCAAUUGGAAACAUUUUUGAGAGUAAAAAUACCUGAAGACAUGUUGGGCCUGGAGGUAGCAGACUCAAAAUUAAAGCAGGGGCCCCUCUAUCCACCGCCCCCCAGAUUGCAUUAAACACAGCAUGUUGGGGAUCAGUGAGUUGCCAUGGCCCUGCAAUCAGACAUUUUGCCCUCUGAAAUUUAGCCUUGAUUUUGAAGCCCUGAGUUUAGUAUAUUUAGAUGAGCUGACGGGCCCAGGGAGUCACUCAGAAAGGGUAGAGGUCCUUCAGAGCUGCGUUAAGAUACAGUGGGAGGGGGUCAAAUUGCUAAUUUCAUCUGCCACUGAAAACUCCCAAACAGCAGAGAACUUCCCAGAAGACUUGUGAAGUUGGGAGUCUGCAGGUGGCGGGGGUUGGGUGGGGAGGUGAUGGCAUUCUACCCCUAAGAGAGCAUUUUGAAGUUGAAGCUCAACUUAAAAUAUUUGUGCCUAUUUUUGAGACAGGGUCUUGCUCUGUCACCCAGGCUGGAGUGCAAUGGCACCAUCUCAGCUCACUGCAGCCUCGACCUCCCAGGCUUGAGCAAUCCUCUCACCUCAGCCUCCUGAGUAGCUGGGACUACAGGCAUGCACCACCACACUUGGCUAAUGUGUGUAUGUGUGUGUGUGUUUGUAGAAAUGGGGUUUUGCCCUGUUGCCCAGGCUGGUCUCAAACUCCCGAACUCAAGCCACCUGCUCUCCUCGGCCUCCCAAAGUGUUGGGAUUACAGAUGUGCAUCAUCGUGCCCAGCCACAUUAUGCUUUUUAGAGGGACAUCACCAAUCAGACAGUGGCCUGGGCUGGACACAGCAUCCCUGGAAGACGGCCCCUCUCUAAGGUGUCAUCUGCCAUUAGCCAAGGACCCUCUUGUCUCUCUAGCUCCAAGUCUCCACAGAGGAUGUGCUCAAAAGUGAGUGUGUGUGGCCUUGCCCCCCACUUCUCCUGCCUGCAGGUGGGGAGGGAAGCAGGUGGCAGGAGGAGGUGGCUGUCUGGGGCUGCCCUCCUCUGUACCUGUGCGUGAUUUUACUCUAUGCUGAGUGCCAGCAGGGAGGAUGGGAAACAACAUUUCUGUCUGGUUAUCAAAUGAUCGCCAUCAUUGGCCUCAUGGCAUCACCACUGUCUUCAUUGCUGGCACCUUCCCGUCCUCCCUCCAGCCAGGGAAGUCUGACCCAGGCACAGGUGACAGGAAGUGUCACUCUGCCUUAGGGGUCUGCAAUCUUGGGAUGUCAAACAGGCCCCACGGUGCCUUGCACCCCUGGUCUCACACUCUGUAUCAUUUUCUGUACUGUUCAUGUGGUUCUCAAAGCAGGCGUGGCCAGGGAGUGGGACAGCUUUGUGUCCGUGUCUUGGAGCUGCUGCAAAGAGGCCCCGAGGGCCGGGGGCUCAGGCCACAGAAACGGAUCUUGUCCCGGCAGUGGGGGCUGAAGCCUGAGAUCACAGUGUGGGCGGGGCUGGGUCCUUCUCAGGCUGUGUGGGGGGUUCUGUCCCAGGCCUCUCUCCUGGGAGUGCAGGCACUGGCUCCGCCCAUGUCCUUCACCUCCCCUUCCCUCUAAUUGUGUCUGCCUCUGUCACCACAUCUCCUCUUUAUGAGGACAUUGGCCCUAUUGGAUCAGUGCCCUCUCUAAUGACCUCAAUUUAAAUCAGUGACCUCUGUGGAGACCCUCUCUCCAGAUAAAGCCUCCUUCAGAUAAAGCCUCUUGCGGAUAAAGCCUAAAGCACUGGUGGUCAGGACUUCAACGUGUGAAUUCCAGGAGGACACACUUCAGCCCAUUACAGACCUGAUGGCUUCUGCCAGACACCCAGCCGAUCCCCAUGGCUUAUGGAGGAAGAAGACAAGUGGAGACGGGGAGGUGGUCGGGCGACCCUUUCCACGGCCAGCAGCAACUGCACCCGUGUCUGGGCACCUCCUGAGUGCUGUAAGCCCCCAUGCAUCAUCAAGACGGAGGCCCAGGCAAGGGCAGGUGGGAGCUGAAACCCGUCUCAGGAGAUCCCCAAGCCACCUUCCCUUGGUCCCAGCCCAGAUUGUGGCUCCCCUGUGUGCCUCCCAGGCCCCAGGAUAGACGUCAACCGUGUCCCCUUGUGGGUGCCUUGAGCUUAGCACCUGCCUGUCCCUUCCAGGGGCCCCUCUAAUACAGGACUUACAUCUUCAUGAAGACACUAACUGUACUAGUGCGUGUUCUCCAGAGGAGCAGAGCCACUCAAGGUGUGCACAUCAGAAGAGAGCUAUUUUAAGGAACUGGCUGACGCUGGCAAGUUCAAACUCUGCAGGGUGGGCCGGCAGGCUGGAGACCUGGGAAGGAGCUCAUGUCACAGUUCGAGGCCUAAGGCAGUCUGGGGGUGGAAUUCCUUCUUGCUCAAGGCUGGUCAAUCUCUUUGUUCUAGUCAGGCCUUCAACUGAUUGGGUGAGGCCCACCCCUUUUGACGAGAGCCACCUGCUUUACUCGAAGGCUAAUCUCAUCUAGAAACACCUUUACAGGUGCAUCCAGAGUAAUGUUUGACGAGCUAUCUUAGCACCGUGGUCCAGCCAAGCUGACUAUAGAAUUAAUCAUCACACCGUCUAAUGCCAAAAUAAUUCAAAUCUUUUUUUAAGUGAAAACAAGUUUAUUAAGAAAGUAAAGGAAUAAAAGAAUAGCUACUCCAUAGGCAGAGCAGCCCCAAUAAUUCAAAUCUUUACUGAAGUCCCAAGAGGCUUGUGGGAGGAAGGUGUACUCCGAACGCACAGCAAAAUCUUAACAUUUCUCUCUCCCUGGCCACUCUCCACAUUGCUUGCUAUGACUCCCCUGAAACUGCUCCCCUCAUUCUCAGCCUUGAACCCAGAAAUACCCCAGCCCCCAGCACUCCUGCACUUCCUUCCGCCUCCCACUUUGUUCCUGUCCUGUCCUUCCUUCUCCUCCGCAGAUGACUCCCAGCCACUUCCAGUCCUCACCCUGUCCCAACUUCUCCACCUUUGUCUCUCCACCAGCCCUGAGGCCUCACCAUGCAAGUCCAGGCACUGAGCCAGCAAAGGCAGAAUCCACCGCCCCCAGGUAGGGAAGGGGAGCAGAGAGCACAGGGCACUCUUCCCUCAAAGAGCACAGGGCACUCUUCCCUCAGAGAGCACAGGGCACUCUUCCCUCUGCACAUUUCCUGGGCAUCUCCACCCCAUUGCUCGUGAAGCUUGGAGAGCUGGUAGCUUACGGAGACAAGACUCCCCCAAGCCCCUCAAGACUGCAGGCCCAGCCCUCCCAGCUCCCCUUCAGAUCAGGGAGGAGAGAGUCACAGUGUUUCUGCUUCUCCAGCACCACCGUCCAAAGUGGAGAUGAUGUCAGCAAAGGGGAUAUUGAAGCAGAUGGAGUGGUACAGAUGGUGGGUCACUAAAACGCAGGUUGAAGGUACGUGCUGCCACGGGCUAAGCCAAGAAGAUGGGAAGGUGGGUCUGUCUGUUGGAAUAUAAAUCCUUGGCCCCAGUGUUCCUGGUGGAGAGUCCUCCAGUAUGAAUGCUUGCUGGGCAUGCUCAGUUUAGGAGGAGUUAAUCCAACAGGUCCUAUUUCUUUCAUAAGGACUGAGGCCACUGUGGGAGCAUGGGCUGCCUAAUGCCGUCCCAGCUGUUGCUAAAUGAAAGGCCGGGCCUGCUAUGUAAAUGUCUUAUUUGAUGCCUUUUCUAUGAUGCAUGUCCUCCUGGAAUGGGGCUCCUGGCUUUGUCAGUCCUGGAGACCCACAGGGAUGUAGAUUGUGCCUUUUGGAAAAUGCUUCCAGUGACCCACAUGUUACGUGCCUCUGUCCAUAUUUUCAACAAGCUUUUCAGAGCACAGUUUUAAUGUCCAUUAAGGAACUAUCUCAUUUGGCCAAGGGAGGCAUACACGGGUGAGUACUCUAAGAUAACACAAUUUGAAGAGAUCUGAUAUGAAACUGUCACACUGGGGUAUGAUCAUUCUCACUGCAAGAGAAAUACUUGAUUAAAAUGCAUUGAAGACAUAUUUUAAAUUAGACCCUCUCGCAGUGCAUUUAAGACAGAUCCACUUUACUUUCCAGGCUUUUCACAUCAAGUCAUGCCUGUGCCCACAGACAGGGGAGGAGGUGGCAUGAGGCUCCAAGCUCUGGAGCCUUGGAAGUCAGGCAGGCCCCACUGGAAUCACAGCCCCCUACUCCCAGGCACACCUAAGGAGUCAGUCUCUCCUGACCGAUGGAUCCAACUUCACAGCUGCGACUGAGCACCAGGGGGACGUGGCGCUGGGAAAUUGUCCCGGCAGACGAGACUGAACCCUAGAAGGGCCCCAUGGUAAAACUGAUAAAGCCUGAAAUGUGUGUGCAGACAUGGGCCUCUUUAUUACCACACAACGACCAUUAAAAUCUCUCUGCUAUGGUGUAAUUAUUUUCCAUAAAUUAUUGGGGUACUGGUGGUAUCUGGUUACAUGAGUACGUUCUUUAGUGGUGAUUUGUGAGAUCUUGGUGCACCCAUCACCUGAGCAGUAUACACUGCACCAUAUUUGUAGUCUUCUAAUCCCUCACUGCCCCCACUCUUCCCCCCAAAUCCCCAAAGUCCAUUGUAUUGUUCUUAUGCCUUUGAGUCCUCAUAGCUUAGCCCCC
RNAcentral lists this long non-coding RNA (9205 nucleotides) under Homo sapiens (human). Its description in RNAcentral is "non-protein coding LINC01940:10". Lineage: Eukaryota; Metazoa; Chordata; Mammalia; Primates; Hominidae. The record is from RNAcentral.